CUCUUAAAAGUAUCGAAAAAAUCUAUUUAGUACAAGAUGGAAAAUACGAAUCAUCGUAAUCGCCUUUUAGAGGGCAUAUUGCAACUGAUGCCGAAAGUAGGAGACUCGCCCGCCUGCCAACUCAAAAAAUCGCGUUCAUUGAUGAUGUAGUGGUAGAUCGGAAGUUCGGGUGGUAAGGUAUAUUAUGUAUACAGUGAUUUAGUUGAAUUCACGAAUGCGACGAUGAAUAAUCGAUAUAGAAUACGGUUCUAUAAGUGGAACUCGUGGUUAAACACGGUAGGUAUGCAUUUUUUACUGGAAAACGAAAUAAUUUACAAUAUUUAUAUAUUAUAUCUAAAAUACAUGUGAGUUGUGAAGAUAAUGUGAUGCAGAUUCAUGCUGAUUAUUUGUAUGCUAAUUAUUGGCCGAACAAUUUCUUUGGUAUGGAGUCGAGGAGUGAAAUUUUUAAAAUUAUCUCGAUUUAC
Molecule: non-coding RNA, 464 nt
Organism: Cinara cedri
Lineage: Eukaryota; Metazoa; Arthropoda; Insecta; Hemiptera; Aphididae
Source: the annotation of a GenBank genome assembly